UACGGAGGGUGCAAGCGUUAUCCGGAUUCACUGGGCUUAAAGGGCGCGUAGGCGGCCUUCUAAGUCGAACGUGAAAUCCCCGGGCUCAACCCGGGAACUGCGUCCGAUACUGGAAGGCUUGAAUCCGGGAGAGGGAUGCGGAAUUCCAGGUGUAGCGGUGAAAUGCGUAGAUAUCUGGAGGAACACCGGUGGCGAAGGCGGCAUCCUGGACCGGCAUUGACGCUGAGGCGCGAAAGCCAGGGGAGCAAACGGG
Molecule: ribosomal RNA, 253 nt
Filed under: uncultured bacterium
Lineage: Bacteria
Description: partial 16S ribosomal RNA
Rfam family: Bacterial small subunit ribosomal RNA
Source: RNAcentral